Small nucleolar RNA from Alnus glutinosa, 96 nucleotides. Lineage: Eukaryota; Viridiplantae; Streptophyta; Magnoliopsida; Fagales; Betulaceae. The record is from RefSeq and is a predicted model, not a curated record.
CUUAAAAAAAUGAAAUAUUUAUAGACAUUAAUAUGUAGGCUUUUGGUGGGCAUGUUGUGAGUUUCAUUUCUGCCCAUAAAGGACCUACAAACACUG